Long non-coding RNA from Herpailurus yagouaroundi (jaguarundi), 1134 nucleotides. RefSeq lists it as uncharacterized. NCBI's taxonomy places the organism in Eukaryota, Metazoa, Chordata, Mammalia, Carnivora, Felidae. The record is from RefSeq and is a predicted model, not a curated record. The transcript has 4 exons.
AAUACAUAAAAAUAAUAAAUACAUAAAUAGAUAAAUGAAUGAAUGAAUGAAUGAAUGAAUGAAUAAAACAGAAUGGCAGUUGAGUGUCUUGUGAAUCUCUUGCCUUUAGUCUUUAUGAUCCCAUCCACGCGGGAACCUAUGAGUCUCCUGUUAAGCAGAAAAAAUUCUUUCCUGCUGAGAUCUGGCAGGUGGUUCCGGUAACACCUUUCUCGUCUAGGAAGUAGUUCAAUUAUUUCCACCUUCGACAAGGUGCUGGCCUUACUCGCCAAGAGGACAGAGGGAUUGGAGUUGCCAGCGCCCCCACCCCCACGUGGGGUGCGGUGUCUGCAAACAGCCUUGCUCUCAAGUAUAAAUUCCCCUCUUUCUCGGAAGAGCAGCAGUGUCCGAGGCAUUGGCAUGCAAAUACUUGCAAAGUGAAAAUGGAUACACUUCCACGGCUCCUCAUCCCUGGCCUCCGAGGACAGCUUGCCAACUGCGCGUGCGUGUUGGGUUGGCACCGUGACAAAUGUUCCCUGGAGCAUAGACGGGAACUACCAAACUGAUACCACGUGGGACGCCAGCCAAAUCCUGACCUUGCUCCCUGUAGGUGAGCGGCUGUGGAAUUCACCUGUGAUGGUCUCCGGCUCCCACCAGAUGUGUCUAGGAGAUACUGUGGACUCAGUUCCAGACCAUCGCCAUAAAGCAAACAAUUCAAUAAACUGGAAGCAAAGGACUCCAAGAUGGGAAAAGCCACACAAUGGAGGGAUCCCAGCAUGCACCAGAUGUUCACGAGUGUCCUGACCUCUCUGGUCACUGAACUUGGAGUCGUCGUCCAUGCAUUCCUGCUCCUGCUCCUGCUGUUCCGCUGUGCAGAAAGCCUUUCCCUGCACUUCCCGUGGAAUGUCUGCACAGUUGUUACCACGGCUUGGCUGCUCCCCUAGGCAGAGCUGUCUCUCCGGAGGAUUACUGCAAUUGCCUACUAACGGGUCUCUCAGUUUCUUCUCUUACCCACCUGCCAUUCCCCACAUAGCCAUUGGGGUGAUCAUAACAUCCAGGUGGGGCACCUGGAUGGCUCAGUCAGUUGAGCAUCUGACUUUGACUCCAGUCAUGAUCUUGCGGUUCGUGAGUUCAAGCCCCACGUCGAGCUCACUGCUG